GGAAGGAUCAUUAUUGAAAUAAACCUGACGGGUUGUUGCUGGUUCUCUAGGGAGCAUGUGCACGCCUUGUCAUCUUUAUAUCUCCACCUGUGCACCUUUUGUAGACCUUUCCAAGGUCUAUGUUUAUUCAUUUACCCCAAUGUAUGUUAAUAGAAUGUUGUGUUUAUAAAAUCUAUACAACUUUCAGCAACGGAUCUCUUGGCUCUCGCAUCGAUGAAGAACGCAGCGAAAUGCGAUAAGUAAUGUGAAUUGCAGAAUUCAGUGAAUCAUCGAAUCUUUGAACGCACCUUGCGCUCCUUGGUAUUCCGAGGAGCAUGCCUGUUUGAGUGUCAUUAAUAUAUAUCAACCCCCCUUCUCUCUUGUUGGAGUGGGGUGGUUUGGAUGUGGGGGUUUGCUGGCCUCUUAAAAAGGUUCAGCUCCCUUGAAAUGCAUUAGCAGAACGGACCUUGUUCAUUGGUGUGAUAACUAUGUACGCUAUUGAAUGUGAAGGGAAGUUCAGCUUUCUAACUGUCUUUGGACAAAUUCAU
This 527-nucleotide ribosomal RNA is filed under the name Cortinarius sp. BHS2009-56. RNAcentral describes it as "eukaryotic LSU rRNA". The stretch from base 179 to 332 matches the Rfam family "5.8S ribosomal RNA". Lineage: Eukaryota; Fungi; Basidiomycota; Agaricomycetes; Agaricales; Cortinariaceae. The record is from RNAcentral.